AUGAACGCUGGCGGCGCGCCUAAUACAUGCCAGUCGAGCGAACGGACGAGAAGCUUGCUUCUCUGAUGUUAGCGGCGGACGGGUGAGUAACACGUGGAUAACCUACCUAUAAGACUGGGAUAACUUCGGGAAACCGGAGCUAAUACCGGAUAAUAUUUUGAACCGCAUGGUUCAAAAGUGAAAGACGGUCUUGCUGUCACUUAUAGAUGGAUCCGCGCUGCAUUAGCUAGUUGGUAAGGUAACGGCUUACCAAGGCAACGAUGCAUAGCCGACCUGAGAGGGUGAUCGGCCACACUGGAACUGAGACACGGUCCAGACUCCUACGGGAGGCAGCAGUAGGGAAUCUUCCGCAAUGGGCGAAAGCCUGACGGAGCAACGCCGCGUGAGUGAUGAAGGUCUUCGGAUCGUAAAACUCUGUUAUUAGGGAAGAACAUAUGUGUAAGUAACUGUGCACAUCUUGACGGUACCUAAUCAGAAAGCCACGGCUAACUACGUG
Molecule: ribosomal RNA, 496 nt
Filed under: uncultured bacterium
Lineage: Bacteria
Description: partial 16S ribosomal RNA
Rfam family: Bacterial small subunit ribosomal RNA
Source: RNAcentral